ACGGAAGUCGUUGUAAUGAAAUAGAAACGGACAGAGAACUUGUUCGAAGAAAGUGGAAGUAGACUUACAACAAUGGCUUUAGUGGCGGACUGGUGAGUAACGCGUAAGGAACCUGCCUUCUAGAGGGGAAUGACAAUGAGAAAUCAUUGCUAAUACCGCAUAUGCCGAGAGAAUCACAUGGUACAAUCGGGAAAAGAGUAAUCUGCUAGAAGAUGGCCUUGCGUCUGAUUAGAUAGUUGGUGGGGUAACGGCCUACCAAGUCGACGAUCAGUAGCCGGACUGAGAGGUUGAACGGCCACAUUGGGACUGAGAUACGGCCCAGACUCCUACGGGAGGCAGCAGUCGGGAAUAUUGCGCAAUGGAGGAAACUCUGACGCAGUGACGCCGCGUAUAGGAAGAAGGUUUUCGGAUUGUAAACUAUUGUCGUUAGGGAAGAGAAAGGACAGUACCUAAGGAGGAAGCUCCGGCUAACUACGUGCCAGCAGCCGCGGUAAUACGUAGGGAGCGAGCGUUAUCCGGAAUUAUUGGGUGUAAAGGGUGCGUAGACGGGAAGAUAAGUUAGUUGUGAAAUCCCUCGGCUUAACUGAGGAACUGCAACUAAAACUGUUUUUCUUGAGUGCAGGAGAGGUAAGUGGAAUUCCUAGUGUAGCGGUGAA
Molecule: ribosomal RNA, 656 nt
Filed under: uncultured bacterium
Lineage: Bacteria
Description: bacterial SSU rRNA
Rfam family: Bacterial small subunit ribosomal RNA
Source: RNAcentral